CAGGGAGACAACAAAAUGUUUAAUAUUAUUAUUUUGUCACCUUAGGUCGAUCGGUAUCUCACGUUCUUAAUUUAUUAAGGAUUUCAUUUCCUAAGUUUUUCUAGGUCACACCCAUUAUUUUUCCUGGGCCAUUAGCUCAGGUGGUUAGAACGCACCCCUGAUAAGGGUGAGGUCCCUGGUUCAAGUCCAGGAUGGCCCAUAUCUCUAUGUUGGGGGUAUAGCUCAGUUGGUAGAGCGCCUGCUUUGCAAGCAGGAUGUCAGCGGUUCGAGUCCGCUUACCUCCACUGAUUACCACCUCUUCCAUAAUCUGUAGAAAGGAAAUGUUUUGAGUUGUGAUCAAAUUCUGAACGAAUCUAGCUUCCUAAUGAAAUCAUUAAGAUGCUGGACUCAGUGAAUCAAUUUCAUUGUUUUCAGAGAACCUUGACAACUGCAUAGAUUAUUUUUGAAAAGACAAUAAGCAUCUUUAAUGAUGCAGAUUUAUUAUUUGUGCGAAUGCAUUAAUAACAAUUCUAUUAAGCUGAUGCUUCAUUUUUGAAGUUAUU
Molecule: transfer RNA, 542 nt
Filed under: uncultured cyanobacterium
Lineage: Bacteria; Bacillati; Cyanobacteriota
Description: partial 16S-23S ribosomal RNA intergenic spacer
Rfam family: tRNA (bases 212-284)
Source: RNAcentral